ACAGUUACAGGACAACAAGAUAUCUGUGGUAGCGAAGACAGCAUUCCGCACCCUCACCAACCUGCAGUCCCUAAGUAUGUCUGGGAAUCUACUGACGUCAGUGAGAGAUCUUUUUCGAGGGUUAAGCUCACUGUAUAUGCUAAAGUUGGAAGAUCUGGAACUACUUGACAUCAGCGAGGACCACUUCAGUUUCCUGUCAAAACUGAAGAUUGUAUAUUUCCACACAUUUCGCUACUGCAGUUACGUACCAAAAGUUCCCCAAUGUCUGCCUAACUUUGAUGG
Long non-coding RNA from Homarus americanus (American lobster), 282 nucleotides. RefSeq lists it as uncharacterized. The record is from RefSeq and is a predicted model, not a curated record. Lineage: Eukaryota; Metazoa; Arthropoda; Malacostraca; Decapoda; Nephropidae. The transcript is spliced from 4 exons.